This 123-nucleotide microRNA precursor is filed under the name Gossypium hirsutum (cotton). RNAcentral's name for it is "MIR7504 microRNA precursor family". It matches the Rfam family "MIR7504 microRNA precursor family". The record is from Rfam by way of RNAcentral. Lineage: Eukaryota; Viridiplantae; Streptophyta; Magnoliopsida; Malvales; Malvaceae.
AAUAGUUUUAUAUCACAUCAGCAUUUUCAUCCUAAAUUUCAGCAUUUUCAUCCUGAAAUAAAUCAAAUCCAAACUAAAAUUUUGAAAUUGAGGAUAAAAUUGCUAAUGCGGCAUAAAACUAUU